AUUGAACGCUGGCGGCAUGCUUUACGCAUGCAAGUCGAACGGCAGCGCGGGCUUCGGCCUGGCGGCGAGUGGCGAACGGGUGAGUAAUACAUCGGAACGUGCCCAGUAGUGGGGGAUAGCUCGGCGAAAGCCGGAUUAAUACCGCAUACGACCUGAGGGUGAAAGCGGGGGAUCUUCGGACCUCGCGCUAUUGGAGCGGCCGAUGGCAGAUUAGCUAGUUGGUGUGGUAAAGGCCUACCAAGGCGACGAUCUGUAGCUGGUCUGAGAGGACGACCAGCCACACUGGGACUGAGACACGGCCCAGACUCCUACGGGAGGCAGCAGUGGGGAAUUUUGGACAAUGGGCGAAAGCCUGAUCCAGCAAUGCCGCGUGUGUGAUGAAGGCCUUCGGGUUGUAAAGCACUUUUGGCGGGAACGAAAAGGACUGUGCCAAUACCACGGUUCGAUGACGGUACCCGCAGAAUAAGCACCGGCUAACUACGUG
RNAcentral lists this ribosomal RNA (484 nucleotides) under uncultured bacterium. RNAcentral's name for it is "partial 16S ribosomal RNA". It matches the Rfam family "Bacterial small subunit ribosomal RNA", at positions 29 to 507 of the family's 1533-position model. The record is from RNAcentral.